Caretta caretta (loggerhead turtle) is the source of this 304-nucleotide long non-coding RNA. RefSeq lists it as uncharacterized. Lineage: Eukaryota; Metazoa; Chordata; Testudines; Cheloniidae. The record is from RefSeq and is a predicted model, not a curated record.
CCGAGCUCUUCAACUUCCAUUCAUUUAGAAAAGAAAGAAAAUCAGUGUUGGCGUUUGAACGUUUUUCAACAAAUGGUCUGCAUGCCCUUCCCAGGGAAGACUCAUGACAGCAGAAGGGGAGGUGCAGUUCUCAGGCCUGAAUGCUUCAGUUUGUUCCAGAGAUGGUCCCUCUAUCAGAGCAGUCAGCUCUCUGACGCCUGUUUCUCUCAACGAUCCAUGGUGGAAUUGGAGAACCUUUGGAAGACUGGAUAAUCUCAUGCAGGGGAAGGGCCGUGGCUGCUUGGAAAAGAGUGAUUUUUACAUC